RNAcentral lists this ribosomal RNA (665 nucleotides) under uncultured bacterium. Its description in RNAcentral is "bacterial SSU rRNA". It matches the Rfam family "Bacterial small subunit ribosomal RNA", at positions 9 to 650 of the family's 1533-position model. The record is from RNAcentral.
GGGUUUGAUCAUGGCUCAGAACUAACGCUAGUGGCGUGUCUUAGUCAUGCAAGUCGAGCGAGAAAGUUCUCUUCGGAGAACGAGUACAGCGGCAAACGGGUGAGUAACGCGUGGGUAAUCUACCUUUGAGUUGGGGAUAACACUCCUAACGGAGUGCUAAUACCGAAUGUGCUGUCGGGAUCUCGGUUUCGACAUGAAAGAUGGCCUCUGCUUGCAUGCUGUCGCUCAAAGAUGAGCCCGCGUCCUAUUAGCUUGUUGGUGGGGUAACGGCCUACCAAGGCAACGAUGGGUAGCCGGCCUGAGAGGGUGAACGGCCACACUGGCACUGAGACAAGGGCCAGUCCCCUACGGGGGCCAGCAGUCUAGAAAUUUGCACAAUCGCCGAAAGGCGGAUGCAGCGACGCCACGUGGAGGAUGAAGCCUUUCGGGGUGUAAACUCCUGUCAGAGGGGAAGAAGGUGCGGGUGCUAAUACCAUCCGUUACUUGACGGUACCCUCAGAGGAAGCUCCGGCUAACUGCGUGCCAGCAGCCGCGGUAAUACGUGGGGAGCAAGCGUUGUUCGGAUUUACUGGGCGUAAAGAGCUCGUAGGCGGAUGCGUAAGUCGGAUGUGAAAUCCUUUGGCUCAACCAGAGAAUUGCACCCGAAACUGCAUGUCUUGAGUUCA